Non-coding RNA from Zalophus californianus (California sea lion), 640 nucleotides. The record is from the annotation of a RefSeq genome assembly. Lineage: Eukaryota; Metazoa; Chordata; Mammalia; Carnivora; Otariidae.
AAGGUGCUCUUUCCAAAAGAAUGAAGAUUGUCUAGAAGAUCCUAUCUGGAAUCCAGAAUCAGACUAGAGGAGCACCCUAUCAGCUUUGUUAUAUUUGGGGGUACAAGGUCAUUUUUCUCUUCCCAGAGUUCAAACAGCCAUGCUUUCUGCUUUUUGCUCAAUGCUUGUGGUGGUCCUGCUAGUAAUUCUCAGGACCAGUGGAGACACAGUGACCCAGACAGAAGGCCCUGUUACCCUCUGUGAGGGGACACCGCUGACCCUGAACUGCACCUACGAGAGCAGCUACUCAGUUGUUGUUUUCUGGUAUGUCCAGUACCAAAACAAAGAGCCUGAGCUCCUCCUGAAGAGCUCAUCAGAAAACCAGAGGGUAGAGCAUCGCGGUUUUCAGGCCGAUCUUAAGAGUGACAAGUCCUUCCACCUGGAGAAACGCUCAGUGCAAAUGUCAGACUCGGCCGUGUACUACUGCGUGCUGGGAGGCACAGUGAGAACAACAGGAGGGGGAGCUGAGCGCAAACCCAGAGCGGCACAGGAGGCACCUGGAAGUGGGCAGCCUGGAGGGCAGAAUGAUGACUUAUUUCUCUCCGGUCAGUGUCCCGGGCUGGGCACGAAGGAAGAACUAAUAAUUUUAGAAUUAAAAUGA